UUUCCUACGGGAGGCAGCAGUGAGGAAUAUUGGUCAAUGGGCGGGAGCCUGAACCAGCCAAGUCGCGUGAGGGAAGACGGUCCUAUGGAUUGUAAACCUCUUUUGUCGGGGAGCAAAGAGGCCACGUGUGGUCAAAAGCGAGAGUACCCGAAGAAAAAGCAUCGGCUAACUCCGUGCCAGCAGCCGCGGUAAUACGUAGGGGGCGAGCGUUGUCCGGAAUCACUGGGCGUAAAGGGCGCGUAGGCGGUAAUAUAAGUCAGAUGUGAAAGGUGGGGGCUCAACCCCUAGAGUGCAACUGAUACUGU
RNAcentral lists this ribosomal RNA (305 nucleotides) under uncultured bacterium. RNAcentral describes it as "bacterial SSU rRNA". It matches the Rfam family "Bacterial small subunit ribosomal RNA", at positions 335 to 636 of the family's 1533-position model. The record is from RNAcentral.